Molecule: long non-coding RNA, 2277 nt
Organism: Pogona vitticeps (central bearded dragon)
Lineage: Eukaryota; Metazoa; Chordata; Lepidosauria; Squamata; Agamidae
Source: Ensembl
AUGAUGCAUUUGGUCAGUGCAUCUUCUAAACUAGUAUUCGAUUCCAGAGGUGAGGAAGUAGUCAGCUUUGCAUCACUGGUUGGCUCUUGGAAAGAGAGGUCCAGAAUGUCUGACGCUUUGAGGCAAAUGAUGGUAAAUUGCCCAGUGAAACCACAGGUACAGUUAGAUAUUGUCUCUGAUUUUUUGCUAUGUUGGAACAAAGUAGUGUUAGUAAGAGCUCCUUUGACCUUGGAUUUAUAUUUCUUGAAUAUUUGCAUAGCCUACAAAAGGAGAGAACAGAAGUAAGAAAGAAGAGAUGAGAGAGGAAACUUAGCAGUGACACAGAGGAAAGGAAACUGGUGAUGAAAAGCAACACAAGGAGGAGGAAUGGCCAUGGAAGAGAAAGGAAACUCAGCCUUCAGAAGUGGGGGAAAGACAAAAAGAGUGAAGAAAGAAGCAAGGAAAUACAAGGGAACAGUAAGGAAAGUAAUUAUGUUGUAUUGCCAAAACACAUUCAAGUAUCAUGGUGUUGGGCAGAUGCCUCUGGCAAAUUUAUUGGGGCAUUCAGAUACUCAUCUUGCUUCUGAUCUUUGACCCUUCUUUCUCCUUCCCUCAUUGUCUGUUUAUAUAGCCAGGGAAGGAAAAGGUUAAGAUGCCACUCCAGACCUGGGACAUGGGUCAUGUUGCUUAUUUUGCCCCUGAAGCAAGAAUAGGAAGGUAAGGAGGUCUUGUGAAAUCUGUACCACCACUAAACAUCCUGGACCAGGAAGGUGAAGAUUUGGUGGUGUCUCUCUUCCAGUCUCCUUUUCCCAGAGUUGGUUUCUCAAAGCCACGUACCUUCCAAUAACGUUCCUGUAUCUCAGGCUCUGUGGGAGUGAGGAACAUUCUCUGAACCAGUGCAUGGGAAAGCAUUCCUGCCCCAAGGACCUUCCCCUUAUUUUCUAUGAGUGAAUAUCUGUGCAUUGUGGUGCUACUCCAUAUCUAGCAAAAGGUAGUGAUGGCAAGAGGAAUGCAGUCUGAUUUAAGUACAGGUUGUGAUCAUCCAAACCCUGCACCAUAAAAAUCAGUCCUCAGGAACAGGAGUAUUAGAACAUGGCAAAAAGUGCUUUCUAAAAUCCUGCAGAUGACUUACCAGGAAGUAAAAGAAAAAAAAAACUGGCAUUUCUAACAUUCAUUUGCAAUCUUGUUUUUUCAAGGUCCUGUAAAUGUUGAAUAAUAACUGACUGUGCAUGUGUUGCAUAAAGCCUGACGCUUCAAGGUGAAUGAUGGUAAAAUGCCCAGUGAUGCCACAGGUACCGUUAGAUCUUGUCUCUGUUUUUAGUUUGUUUUGUUUUGUGUUGUGUUGGAACAUAGCCUCCCUUACCCUGGAAUAAUGAUGUGAUACCAGAAUUAUGGAUUAAACAUGGGCCACACUUUAUUGAAAUAAUCAAUGUUGCCAAUCCUUUGGCAAAGAGGGGUCUUGCCGUAGUGCAGAAUCAGGUUUAAACCCAGAGGUCUGAACGGACCCUUUAUCAAACAAAUGGACGAGUCUCUGGCCCAAGUUUUCACAGCCAUGAAGACAGCAAGAAACCUGGCUGGCCCAAAUUUGAGCACCCCCAGACCUCAAGCCACCCUCUCCUUGUUGACUGUUGGUCCAGGUGUGGUCCGAGUGCAUCUUCCCCUCCCCCAAGCACUGUAAUCGCACGAUCCACAGCACUGGGAGUUCAGAUGAGCUAUACCUUACCUGAGAUUGUGAUGGGACUCACGAAAAAAAUCUCUUUUUUCUGCACUACCUGCCACAGCAUUCAGACUAGCCAUGCUAAGUCCCAUGCCCACCAUUGAGCUCACCAAGCUGCAAAAGCAGGGGGCGCUCCUUGAUUUUGUCAAAGAAGACAUCUAAACCUCAUUCAGAUAGAUGUAUGCCAUCUGACCAGAAAAAUCAGGCCUAUCCAUGCGGAUCCUUUGGUAACUGUGACGGCUGCGAUGACGUCACCUGCCUAUCAAUGUUAUGCUGGAGCUCAUCUGCCUAUAGCAGGGCAGGAGGUGGGAUUCCUGGAGGUGGAGCUAUGUAUAUAAGGGGGGAGUGAAUGAUGUGAGGGAAAAGGAGCUAAGAUGAGAAGAGAGAGAUAGGAACCAGAGAAGGGGAGUUUCAGUUGGAGUUAGGGCAUGUAUGUUAUGAAGUACUGUGUUAGAUAAGGUCUGAGUGAUAGAGUGAUUGAAGGGAUUCUUUAUUUUAUUGAUUGACUUAUUCAGUUCAUACAUUGAUUUGCUAUAUAUUAAGUUGUACCAAUAAACAAUAAUUUUUAUUUUUAAAAUCCA